AGUGAGUUCAGUGGCUUCAGAAGCAAUAUUUAGUGCAGGGACAAGAGUUAUUGAUUCUUAUCGUUCAUCUCUCUCUCCAGACACAGUGCAGACUCUACUGUGUGGGGGUGAUUGGCUUCGACAUAUACAUGGACUGAAAAAGAAGACUAAAAAAGCUAAAACUUAUCAAGAAAUUUUUCUUCCAGUAUCUACCUCUUAAAAAAUUUGAUAUGGAAUUUUGGAAACACAUGUUAAACAAAGAAGAAGAUAUGGAAAUUGCUGCAGAAUUUUGAUAUGGAAACACAUAUGUUAAACACAUGUUAAAGUUGCAGUAUAGGUGGUAUGAUUGAGAAUUUGAUAUGGAGAAGAAGAUAUUGAUUGCUGCAGAAAUUUAAUGUUUUGAGUAGUUUGGGUGGUUUGAAUUUGGAAUAUUAUGUUUUUGGAUUUGGUUAAUUUUGUUGGGAAUUUGAGAUGAAGUUUGGUAUUUUGGCAACAAGAAUAGUGUUUUAUCAUAUAAUUGUGUUUUUGAUUUAUGUUUUUUUUAUUAUAUAUUUGUGUUGUGACUUGUGAA
This is a long non-coding RNA of Zingiber officinale, 550 nucleotides long. RefSeq lists it as uncharacterized. The transcript is spliced from 4 exons. NCBI's taxonomy places the organism in Eukaryota, Viridiplantae, Streptophyta, Magnoliopsida, Zingiberales, Zingiberaceae. The record is from RefSeq and is a predicted model, not a curated record.